UCGAUAAUGGCAUGUCCUAAAAUAAUCCUAUACCUGAAGGUACACCUGAAUUUUCACUUAGAUUUUGCCAAUUGUAUAGUUCCUGUGUUUCUCAGACCAAGCUUAGGUAACUACUUGUCAUACAAUCACUGUGCUCCUCAGAUCAAGCUAAAGGUUCUUACCAAACUUACUGCUACUCAGGUAAAAACUGAGUAACUAUACCAAGAUCUUUCACCUUGGGCUUUUACCAAAAUAUUUACUGCUCAGGCCAAAUCUGAGUAACCAAAGAUCUUUCUAAAC
This 279-nucleotide long non-coding RNA is filed under the name Elaeis guineensis (African oil palm). RNAcentral's name for it is "long non-coding RNA (EGUI_LNC010199)". The record is from RNAcentral. Lineage: Eukaryota; Viridiplantae; Streptophyta; Magnoliopsida; Arecales; Arecaceae.